This 64-nucleotide transfer RNA is filed under the name Lota lota (burbot). Its description in RNAcentral is "tRNA-Cys". Lineage: Eukaryota; Metazoa; Chordata; Actinopteri; Gadiformes; Lotidae. The record is from RNAcentral.
AGUCCUGGGGUGUUACACGUCAGAUUGCAAACCUGAAGAAGCAAACAAACGUUUGCCGGGACUU